GAAUAUUGCACAAUGGGCGCAAGCCUGAUGCAGCAACGCCGCGUGGAUGAAGAAGGCCCUAGGGUUGUAAAGUCCUUUCGGUGGUGAAGAUAAUGACGGUAACCACAUAAGAAGCCCCGGCUAAUUUCGUGCCAGCAGCCGCGGUAAUACGAAAGGGGCUAGCGUUGUUCGGAAUUACUGGGCGUAAAGCGCACGUAGGCGGCCUUGUAAGUUAGGGGUGAAAUCCCCGGGCUCAACCCGGGAACUGCCUUUAAGACUGCAAAGCUAGAGGACGCGAGAGGUUAGCGGAAUUCCGAGUGUAGAGGUGAAAUUCGUAGAUAUUCGGAAGAACACCAGUGGCGAAGGCGGCUAACUGGCGCGUUUCUGACGCUGAGGUGCGAAAGCGUGGGGAGCAAACAGG
This 400-nucleotide ribosomal RNA is filed under the name uncultured bacterium. RNAcentral describes it as "bacterial SSU rRNA". It matches the Rfam family "Bacterial small subunit ribosomal RNA", at positions 359 to 776 of the family's 1533-position model. The record is from RNAcentral.